This 4636-nucleotide long non-coding RNA is filed under the name Homo sapiens (human). RNAcentral's name for it is "HSALNT0180324". Lineage: Eukaryota; Metazoa; Chordata; Mammalia; Primates; Hominidae. The record is from RNAcentral.
AAAAGAGGGGAUUUUUAAGAGGAAUAAAAAGAAACAUUGUGUGUUACUACAAACAACCUAAAAGAAAUCUGUGCAGAUGCAGGACCAUCACCUUUGCCAUGUGGUACUUUCUUAGCCUGUGCAUAUCUGAAAAACAUAAACAUGCUUAGCAGUAUGAGGUAAGAAUUAAUUGCACCAAUAAAAAUUCAUUGGGCCAAAUGGAAUUUCAACAGACUGAAAGAUUCUUAGAUGUUUUCUGGAAGGCUAAGUUGACUUAAGAAUGCGUAUGAAGAAAUAAUCUGUAAAAAAUACUACAGGCCAAUCGGCAUCUGGAAUCAUGAAAAUAUUAAUGAUUCUUCCCAAGCCAUAUAUUCUGGAAAAUUCCAACUAAUGAAUGCACAGCCACAUUAGCAAGCAGGAGACAUGAACAGUGGAUAGACACCAUUUUUCUCCUUUGAACAACUCAUGAACUGAAUGUGAGUUGAAAGUAAGAAAUACUAAGUGUGUUUUCUAAGGAAUUCCCACAUACUUUAAAUAAAGACUUCUGGAUCCACAAGACUUCAUUUUGUGACACAGGGGUUCACAGAUCAAACAGUUCAGAAAAGCUUCAAACUUCACUAAAAGCCUAGAAAGAUCAGAAAGGAUGAAGGGAGUUCACUGCCCAAUAUCUGCUCCUGAGGAUGGGAGUAGGAUAAUGCAUAUAUAGUCGAUUAACUAGGAGGGAUGGUGAGACAUAGAAGAAAUCAGAGUCUAGGCUAAAUAUCAGGGCAGCAUCUUGGCAAUGAAAGCUCCUGCCUUUGGAACACUCCCCUAAGGGAAACAGGAGAUGCUGCUGCUUCAUAAAAAGAAUUAAAUUGCCUAGAUAAAAGCACGAGCGUGCACUGAGUGAUCUCUUGCCCUUUAACUAGGACUUCGGACAUACAUAGUACUUCAAAAUUGUUUGUUUUAAUGCAGAAUCAUCUGAAUGCACAGUAAACCAAUGCUAAAGCCUGGCUAGAAUAGAUCGUCCUACAGAAUUUGAUAAUCUUGGAAUUAGGGGGGACCUUAAAAAAUGCACUUAUUUAUGAAAUACAGAUACUGCUUCCUAUGUACAGGCCAGGUACAAUUUUAAACAUGUUUUUAUAAAUAAUAAGUCAAUCACAGUUGGCAGGAUAAUGGAAUAGGAGGCCCCCUGCUCAUAUACCCACACAGCAAGAAGCAUUUGGCAGCCAUCCACUGAUAGAAGUGCCUCAGUGGGAGCUUUGGGAUCUAGGGAGCAGAUGUUAAAAUUCUGGUAUAGGCCAAAACCAAGGAGGCUCAUUUUAAUAGGGCAGGCCCACACUUGGGUGGCAAUUUUGCUGACUAUGGAGUAAGCCAUUGAUCAAAAAUGAACGCAUCCCCUGUGGACCCAGCUACAAUCCUGUUUCACCUUGGUCCUGCCACCAGAACCAUCCUCCAAGGAGGAGUCAUGCUCACCCAUGCCUAAAGUGACAGGUCCACCACCCACAGGCCUGGCAGCAGACGCUGAAGUACCCCUGUAACUCAGCUCUAGCCCCUCAUCUAGUCUGAGACCAAUCAUGCCUGCCCAGAGACCUGCUGGGAGACACACCCAUCUGUGCCCUGGGAAGUAGGCUUGCUACCCUCAGUCCCAUAGCAGACCCUGAAAAAGCUCUAACUUGGCUCUAGCCCCUAUAAACUGCAGUCUGAAUGCAGUCCUGCCCACCCAGGAACCUGCCAGGAGUCACACUGUAUGUACCCUGGGAAGCAGGCUUGCUGAACUCCAUCCCACAGCAGAUCCUACGACAGCUCAGAAAUUUGUCUCCAGUGCCCUUCAAUUGUGAUCCGUGAUCAGUUCUGCCUGUCCAGGAACCUGGCAGGAGAUACGCCCAUCUGUGCCUCCAGAGGCAGGUCUGAGACAUGAGGCUGGGCUGUAGACCCUGAAGCAGCCCUGUAACUCAGUUCUAGCUCCUCUUAUCUGCAGUCUGGGGCCAGUCUUGCCCACCCAGGGUCCCACCAAGUGACCCUUCCCAGGAACCAAGAAGAAGCCACACCUGUCUACAGACCUGGUAACAGGCCCAUUUUCUGCAGACCUUGAAGUGGACCCUUGUACCAGUACCAGCCCUACUGACCAAGAUCCUGGAAGUCCAGUCUGCCCAGGGACCAAACAAUAUUCACGCCAGCUCGAGCCCCUGGUAACAGGCCUGCCAACCACGAACUGUGAUCUGGAGGCAAUCCCAUCAGCCCUGGGACCCAACAAAAGCAGAAAACCAAUGCAUCCACAAAAUAAGAUAUUUAAUAAAUAAAUAGAAAUCAUAAAAAAGAACCAAACAGAAUGACAAAUUUAUUAUCUCACUUAUAAUGUAGAAUCUUGGAAAGUCAAACACAUAGCAUUGCCAGGGCCUGGGGGUGGGGGAUAUGGGGAGGUGUUGGUCAAAGGGUACAAACUUUCAGUUUGGGAAGCUAAUGUACAUCAUGGUGACUAUAGUAAAUAAUACUGUAUUGUUGACUUGAACUUUGCUAACAGAGUAACCUAAUGUUGCUUAAUGCAUACACACACAUACACACACACCGGUAACAAUGUGUGGUGAUGGAUGUGUUGAUUACUUUGAUUGUGAUGAUCAUUACCCAGUGCAUACAUACAUCAAAUCAUCAUGUCGUAUACCUUGAAUAUAUACAAUUUUUGUCAAUUACACCCUAAUAAAUCUGGGAAAAAACUCAAUCCCCAUAAGAACUCUAUGAGGUACAUGAUAUUAGUACCAGCACUUUACAAGUGGGAAGACUGAAGAACAAGAGUAUAAAUAACUUUGUCUUGGUAGCAUAGCUGCUUACUGGUGGAACAGAGACUUGACCCCAGGAAGUCUGGACCCAAAGUCUGCAUCCUAAACCUUGCAAAUGCAUUGCCUUUUAUCUUGGUAGGCAUUCAGUAUUGCUUUUUCUAGAUAGGAAAGACUGUAUUAGUACAUAUGAACAUCAUGCAUAACAUUUAUUCUAAAAAAGAAUUUGACUCACAAUCUUGAUUCUGGGAAUAUCUGAUUUUACUGAAAGAUUAUUUGCUAAUUACUCUUCCCAAAUCUUAUGAAUAGGAUGAAUGAAGCAGGCACAAUUUGAGGCGUUUUGUAUUUAAUACUAUUUUACUGCCUACCAUAUUUUCACCCAAUCUAAAUAUGCAAGGCCCAAAUCAGCAAAUUUUCCACAUCCAUUGUUCCCACUUCCAGUUAGUAUUGACAUUAUAUAUUACAUUUUUUUGUAUCUUCUAUAACCAAUCGAGUUCAUUCUCUCUUCUCCCCGUUCUUUCUGCUCCACUGAGGUUCAAAAGCCCAUUCCUGGUUUAUUGUAGAACCGCCCUAAGCAUUCUCUCCCUCUCCUAUCUGCCUGUUUUAGCCAUAGCAGAGAUUGCUGGUUAAGGAGACUUGGGAAGGUGUCGGCUCAGCAGUUUCCAGGCAUGGCAAGAAGUGUCCUGAGGCAGAGGCACAGUUAGAUGGACAGGGACCAAAAUGAGAUCACUCAUGGUGCUGAAGCAAAAGCAAGUCCAGGGUUUAGAUCAAGCAACAACAUUGUACAGUUGAACCCAAGGGCACAUGUAUCCUGAAGCUAAGUAACUCAAUCUUCAGAGUAUCUCAAUGGUACAGGUCUCUUUCCAAGUCUUGGGAGAGACUGUAGCAAAGGUCCCUAAAAUUAUAUAAGUGCAAAAAUCCAAAACCUAAAUCUUCUCAUUGAAGCUAUGGCUUUAAUCACACCUUCAAGGUGGAAUUUGGUUCAGCUAUUUAGAAAAUUGGAAACCAGAUAAAAUGCAUAUCUGGUGUCCUAAAGCCUGCCUCACUCCACCUUUGAGGAAAUCUUACUUUGUUUUAUAAAUUAUUGAAGCUAACCUGAGUUUGAGAUAGAUCUUAUUCUUUUCCUAAAAGCAUCCAGGAAUAAAAAUGAUUUGCCAGGAUUUUGAGUCCUAGCCUAGGGUCAGUGUGCAUGAGGGUCACUCAUAGCAUGGCAUGAGAACAACUGAAAGAUGCAUGGCCUGUUCAUCAGGACUGUCCAAGAGGUGGAAGUAACUGGGAGCGGACAAUGUAGUGAAUUUAAGCAACUCCUGUAAAGAGAAGAGGUCUGAUGAAAAGUGUGACUCCAGCCCUCAGCCAACAUUGUUUUGCUGGUGAAAUUCAGCUGAUAAGAAGGAUACUUUGAGGAGGAGAAAGAAUUAGCCAAGAGCACCCAGUAGCAUGACAGAGGAGUGUGGGAGAAAGGGAGAAGCUGUUCCCCUCCCUGUCACUUGGGGAGUUAAGAGGGUGAGGCAGUGAAUGGGAAGGUACAUCAGAUUUCCAAGAACAAAGGUUCUUGAGACUAUGCGGCAGCCUCAGAUCCUUCUUCCUCCCAGCUGCCCCAAGGAUUCAUUGCCAAGCCAGCAGCCACUCUGAGCUCCUGAGAAAAAAAGCAUCGCAGAACCUCAGAGCUGGCUGAGCUGCAUGGCUAGACAUUCAACAGUGCCAUGGUGAGCCACAAACCGAGAAGGUCAGGGUGGAGGAAGCACUUAGAAAAAUGGGAUUGAGAAUAUAGAAAAUGAACAAUGAAUAAAGCUCAGUCUUUGGGAGGUGAUCAGGGUGAAAAAGAUGGGAGUAAGAGUUUGUAUUAUGCUGUUCUUGCAUUGCUAUAAAGACAUACCUGAGACUGGGUAAUUUAUAAAGAAAAG